This 253-nucleotide ribosomal RNA is filed under the name uncultured bacterium. Its description in RNAcentral is "partial 16S ribosomal RNA". It matches the Rfam family "Bacterial small subunit ribosomal RNA", at positions 524 to 776 of the family's 1533-position model. The record is from RNAcentral.
UACGUAGGGGGCGAGCGUUGUCCGGAAUCAUUGGGCGUAAAGCGCGUGUAGGCGGCUCGAUAAGUCCGGUGGGAAACCUUGGGGCUCAACCCCAAGCCUGCACUGGAUACUGCCGAGCUAGAGUCCGGGAGGGGAGAGCGGAAUUCCUAGUGUAGCGGUGAAAUGCGCAGAUAUUAGGAAGAACACCGGUGGCGAAGGCGGCUCUCUGGAACGGUACUGACGCUGAGACGUGAAAGCGUGGGGAGCGAACAGG